GGAAGAGUUACAUUUGUCUCAAGGUAAUAGACUUAAAAGACAUGCCUUUCACUCCGUACUCUUACUGCUUUGAGUAGCAGGUAUGAAGAGCCAGCCUCAGGAGUUGUUUGUCUGUGUUGUGUGUCUGGGAGGCUCUGCACAUGGCUGAAGGUGUGGUUCCUCCCCCUCUCUUUUUUCAUUUUUCUCUGUGUAGCCUAGCUGUCCUAGAACUCACUCUGUAGACCAGGUUGGCCUUGAACUCAUAGAGACCCACCUGCCUCUGCCUCCUGAGUAGUGAGAUUAAAGUAGUGGGUCACCACCAGCUGACUAUAUUCUGUUUUGUUGUUGUUGCUGUUGUUUAAAUAAUGGCCAUAUAUUACUUUUCUGAUCAGGAAAAAAAAAGUGACUACAUGAACAUUUAGAAAAUUCUCUCCACAUUUUGCAGAUGAAUGAAACCAAGGUACCAGAUAGGAAAUGACUCACGGAAGAUCACGUGACUAUCAGUGGCUUUGUGACGAAGUUCAGGAAACCACACUUCCAUUUCGUACCCUGAUCACCCUGGUUUGAGUUAGUUACCAGUAGUUUUUAUAACAGGAAUCUUCUGAGCAUCAAUUUUGUCUGGGAACUCUGACUGUUCUGUGAAGAAGGGAGUGUUCCUUCAAAGCCGGGGAUCAGUUACGUAUAGUCUUCAGCUGAGGCUCACUGCUAGGGGAGCUUCCAAAAUCAAAACCCUGUUCUCAUGGGUCCUCCACUACCCCCUGGAAACGUGUCCAAAGACAGAGUGUGAGGGGACAAGGAAACUUGCGGCUGCUUUGCAGUUGGUAGAUUCUGCAGUUCACAGUGCAGCAGGGAUUUGAGGAACCCAGGUAAAGUAACAAAUGUAAAACCACACCCAAGGCCUGGAGGGCGGCUCCCUGAAAGCCUGCUCAAGGGCCUAGGUUUGAUCCUCAGCUAAUCAGAAGCCACCGGAAGGAGUCUGGGGUACCAAUUGGCGCUAGAGCAUAUGUUAACAUAUGAGUGUAUGCAAGGCUCCGGGCUCAGUCUCUAGCAGGAAAACCCAAACCCAUAUAAAGUAAUAACAAAACCCCAGGGCAAGUACAAUCCCAAGAGGAAACCCUCAUGCUUGCUAUAGACUGAGCAGUGGUAAUGACUCCAGUGAAAACAAACAAACAACCCUGGCUGGUG
This 1164-nucleotide long non-coding RNA is filed under the name Mus spicilegus (steppe mouse). Its description in RNAcentral is "lncRNA (ENSMSIG00000031858.1)". The record is from RNAcentral. Lineage: Eukaryota; Metazoa; Chordata; Mammalia; Rodentia; Muridae.